GUUAGGAUGUCUGAUUAAAGUAACAAACUGUAAAUUUGUUUAUGAACUAUUAUUUGUUCUUCUAAU
This 66-nucleotide transfer RNA is filed under the name Bothrogonia shuana. RNAcentral describes it as "tRNA-Tyr". Lineage: Eukaryota; Metazoa; Arthropoda; Insecta; Hemiptera; Cicadellidae. The record is from RNAcentral. RNAcentral also lists the same sequence under 1 other name.